RNAcentral lists this ribosomal RNA (407 nucleotides) under uncultured Bifidobacterium sp. RNAcentral's name for it is "bacterial SSU rRNA". It matches the Rfam family "Bacterial small subunit ribosomal RNA", at positions 225 to 640 of the family's 1533-position model. The record is from RNAcentral. Lineage: Bacteria; Bacillati; Actinomycetota; Actinomycetes; Bifidobacteriales; Bifidobacteriaceae.
AUGGGGUCGCGUCCUAUCAGGUAGUCGGCGGGGUAACGGCCCACCGAGCCUACGACGGGUAGCCGGCCUGAGAGGGCGACCGGCCACAUUGGGACUGAGAUACGGCCCAGACUCCUACGGGAGGCAGCAGUGGGGAAUAUUGCACAAUGGGCGCAAGCCUGAUGCAGCGACGCCGCGUGCGGGAUGACGGCCUUCGGGUUGUAAACCGCUUUUGACUGGGAGCAAGCCCUUCGGGGUGAGUGUACCUUUCGAAUAAGCACCGGCUAACUACGUGCCAGCAGCCGCGGUAAUACGUAGGGUGCAAGCGUUAUCCGGAAUUAUUGGGCGUAAAGGGCUCGUAGGCGGUUCGUCGCGUCCGGUGUGAAAGUCCAUCGCUUAACGGUGGAUCCGCGCCGGGUACGGGCGGG